AUGAAGUCGGAGUUGCUAGUAAUCCCGGAUCAGAAUGCCGGGGUGAAUGCGUUCCCGGGUCUUGUACACACCGCCCGUCACGCCAUGGGAGUUGGGAGUACCCAAAGUCGGUGCGCUAACCGCAAGGAGGCAGCCGCCUAAGGUAAGACCAAUGACUGGGGUGAAGUCGUAACAAGGUAUC
RNAcentral lists this ribosomal RNA (181 nucleotides) under uncultured bacterium. RNAcentral's name for it is "partial 16S ribosomal RNA". It matches the Rfam family "Bacterial small subunit ribosomal RNA", at positions 1320 to 1500 of the family's 1533-position model. The record is from RNAcentral.